RNAcentral lists this ribosomal RNA (206 nucleotides) under uncultured bacterium. RNAcentral's name for it is "partial 16S ribosomal RNA". It matches the Rfam family "Bacterial small subunit ribosomal RNA", at positions 568 to 774 of the family's 1533-position model. The record is from RNAcentral.
UGCGUAGGCGGGUCUUUAAGUCAGGGGUGAAAUCCUGGAGCUCAACUCCAGAACUGCUUUUGAUACUGAGGAUCUUGAGUUCGGGAGAGGUGAGUGGAACUGCGAGUGUAGAGGUGAAAUUCGUAGAUAUUCGCAAGAACACCAGUGGCGAAGGCGGCUCACUGGCCCGAUACUGACGCUGAGGCACGAAAGCGUGGGAGCAAACA